RNAcentral lists this ribosomal RNA (789 nucleotides) under Chroococcales cyanobacterium PE1F8. Its description in RNAcentral is "bacterial SSU rRNA". It matches the Rfam family "Bacterial small subunit ribosomal RNA", at positions 52 to 887 of the family's 1533-position model. The record is from RNAcentral. Lineage: Bacteria; Bacillati; Cyanobacteriota; Cyanophyceae; Chroococcales.
CACAUGCAAGGCGAACGAGUCUUCGGGUGAGUGCCAGGCGGGUGACUUACGCGUGAGAAUCUGCCCUCAGGAGGGGGAUAGCGGCCGGAAACGGCCGCUAAUACCCCAUAUGCCGAGAGGUGAAACGAAUUUCGCCUGGGGAUGAGCUCGCGUCUGAUUAGCUAGUUGGUGAGGUAAUGGCUCACCAAGGCUUCGAUCAGUAGCUGGUCUGAGAGGAUGAUCAGCCACACUGGGACUGAGACACGGCCCAGACUCCUACGGGAGGCAGCAGUGGGGAAUUUUCCGCAAUGGGCGCAAGCCUGACGGAGCAACGCCGCGUGAGGGACGAAGGCCUCUGGGCUGUAAACCUCUUUUCUCAAGGAAGAAGACAUGACGGUACUUGAGGAAUAAGCCACGGCUAAUUCCGUGCCAGCAGCCGCGGUAAUACGGGAGUGGCAAGCGUUAUCCGGAAUUAUUGGGCGUAAAGCGUCCGCAGGCGGCCUUGAAAGUCUGUUGUUAAAGCGUGGAGCUCAACUCCAUUUAAGCGAUGGAAACUGCAAGGCUAGAGUGUGGUAGGGGCAGAGGGAAUUCCCGGUGUAGCGGUGAAAUGCGUAGAUAUCGGGAAGAACACCAGUGGCGAAGGCGCUCUGCUGGGCCAUAACUGACGCUCAUGGACGAAAGCCAGGGGAGCGAAAGGGAUUAGAUACCCCUGUAGUCCUGGCCGUAAACGAUGAACACUAGGUGUCGGGGGAAUCGACCCCCUCGGUGUCGUAGCCAACGCGUUAAGUGUUCCGCCUGGGGAGUACGCAC